RNAcentral lists this ribosomal RNA (574 nucleotides) under uncultured bacterium. RNAcentral describes it as "partial 16S ribosomal RNA". It matches the Rfam family "Bacterial small subunit ribosomal RNA", at positions 355 to 922 of the family's 1533-position model. The record is from RNAcentral.
UGGGGAAUUUUGGACAAUGGGGGAAACCCUGAUCCAGCCAUCCCGCGUGUGCGAUGAAGGCCUUCGGGUUGUAAAGCACUUUUGGCAGGAAAGAAACGUCGCGGGUUAAUACCCCGCGAAACUGACGGUACCUGCAGAAUAAGCACCGGCUAACUACGUGCCAGCAGCCGCGGUAAUACGUAGGGUGCAAGCGUUAAUCGGAAUUACUGGGCGUAAAGCGUGCGCAGGCGGUUCGGAAAGAAAGAUGUGAAAUCCCAGAGCUUAACUUUGGAACUGCAUUUUUAACUACCGGGCUAGAGUGUGUCAGAGGGAGGUGGAAUUCCGCGUGUAGCAGUGAAAUGCGUAGAUAUGCGGAGGAACACCGAUGGCGAAGGCAGCCUCCUGGGAUAACACUGACGCUCAUGCACGAAAGCGUGGGGAGCAAACAGGAUUAGAUACCCUGGUAGUCCACGCCCUAAACGAUGUCAACUAGCUGUUGGGGCCUUCGGGCCUUGGUAGCGCAGCUAACGCGUGAAGUUGACCGCCUGGGGAGUACGGUCGCAAGAUUAAAACUUAAAGGAAUUGACGGGGGUGC